ACACACACACACACACACACACACACACACACACACAAAAUUCAGAGAACAGAGUUUGACUGUCAUAACGUUGUAUUUUUGCUACAAGGUGAUCCCUAAAAGGCUAUUAGCUGAAAAAUAUACUAGCAAAAAUCAGCAUAAUGUGUAAUGUGAUCUUAAAAACAAGAAAAAAAAGUAAACUGGAUAAGUAUAGGAAAACAUUAAAAGUAGCAGACCUAAAAUCUCCAGCAGAUGAACAAAAGAUGCAUGAAACCUUUGUUCAUCUGUAUGUUUUAUUUGAUUAAUGAUUGAUCAAAUGAAACAUGCAAAGCAGAUGAAGAUGGUAAUUUUAAAACUGAAAGAAAUUAAGGAAAACAUUUCACCACAGGACAUUAACGAAACAAUAAUAAUAUUAAAAAAAUAAAAAAAUCUUUCAAUCGAGAUGUAGGAUAAGAUAAACAUGAAGCAGAGAUGUUUCUCUUAGAGGAGUUAACUUUUGGAAUAGCUGUGAGAGUGACUUAAGAUGUUAUUCAUUUUCCUUUUUUAAAAACCUUUUUAAAAUUAGAGUAUAAGAAAAAUAUAUAAAUCAACAAUCAAGAGGAGCAAAAAUGAUAAUGCUCAAACUCUUGUUUUUUUUUUAAUUUGGAUUACUGUAAUGAACUUAAUGUACAUCUAAGAUUUUUUGUUUCUAUUGCUGCAUAAACGAGCUGCCUGUUAAUGAUCUUUUGUUAAAAGGGUUGCCAUAAGCAUGUGCUUCAGUCAAUACCUUUUUGCUUUCUUGCUUUGUGGCAGAUCUUUACUCUGCAUUGAGAGAUUAGAAUGCUAAUCAAAUAAAUAAAAAUAAUUUGUUAAAAAAGGUUUAAGAUUCAAAUUAGAUCUAUGUAAAUAUUUAUUAACACAGUAAAAGCAGCUGCAGAGAAAGAACUUUAUAUUUUUCACUUUAUCUCCCUGCACCAACAGUUGAAUAAAAGAAGCUGGCUAGCUUCACAGUUUAGAGUCAGAGAGAAAUAUCUACAGAUCAGCUCUAUUAUUUUACUUAGAUACAUCCUCACUCAUAAAAGUCAAAAAUAAAAUAGAAAUAUGAAUACAUAAAAUUAGACAACAUCAGCUAAAGAAAAGCUCGUUAUACAAACUUCCUUUUUUUCCCCAACAGUUUGCUGCACAAACAGGAAAAAGUCACAUCGAGUUUAAAUCUUAAACUAACAGGAAACAUCUCUGUUUAAUUUACAUGCAUUUAACUUAAUUUAAGUUAAAUAUACCAUAACACCUGCUGGAUGUUCUCAUGAUAGUUUGUUUUUAACUCAUCUUCAGAACAUCUGAAUCACUGUCCUGCUGUGAAGAGUAAAGCUGCUCUGUACUCCCUUGACAAGUGUAAGCCUUACAAACAGGUUGUUUUCUUUUGUAGAUCAAAAAGACAAAAACAAAAUUAGUGGCAAAAAGAAGCACAGCAGAAGCAGACAGAAAAACAGUCAGUCCAACAGACCCUUCCUCCUUCCCUCCAUCCUCUGUGUCUCCUCCUGUCUGACCUGCAGGUGAGAAACAGGUGUGAGGUGUCAGCUGUCAGGUAGGUGAUGAGUGAAGAACAGAACAGAAUCCAUUUCCUUGUCUGGUGGAAUAGGUUAAAAAAAAUAAAUGGUUCAAAAUGUAUAGAAAGUGAAAAUUUGAAUACUGUUCGAUUUUUCCAGUACCCUUUCGUUUAAAAACAUUUAAUUUCCCCUGGGGUCAGUGUUGGUGUUAAAUUCAAAUAAAUGUUUGAGAUGUAAAAUUCUGUGAAAAAUAAACUGCUCAAUUUUAAAAGUUAAUUUAUUGGCACUUCAUAUGCAUGUUUGCUGCUUGUUUGUUUUUUUAAAUGGUGAACAUUUUCAAUGUUUUUAAAAACAAGAUGGUGGAGUUUGGCUGAACAGAUCACAUGAAAUUAAUUUGGCUCAUUUAAUGUGCAUUCUUAGAGAUAAAUAUCCUAAUCAACUUAAUAAUUAAUGAUCUAUGUAUUAUUGUGGGGUCUACCUUAGAAUAUAAAGCGCUUUGAGGUGACUGUUGUGAUUUGGCGCUGUAUAAAUAAAAUUGAAAAAAUUGAAUUGAAUAGCAAAAUUCACAGUGUAAAAGAGUCAGCAGCAGGAGGAAUCAAUUAUCAAAACAUUUAUAUGUUACAAAAGUAAUUCAUAAACAUUCCUGCGACAAUGGGAUGAUUCAUUCUGUGCUUUAAGUAAAAAACAAGCAAAAAAAAAAAAAAACCCCACACAAUCUACAUCCCACUCAACAUGCUGUAAAUAAAAGAAUCAGUGCAGCUGAUUUAAAACCAAAACUCCAAAUAUAACCUGGUCAGGAGCAGGUUAUGUGCUCAACAUGAGUUACCAUGGUGAUUUCUGUGUCUGACACAGAAAAGCUCUGAGUUUAGCCUUAACAUAGUUUGGCCAGACAUUAAAAAUAGCAGUCUCAGGUAUCUAUAUAAAAAACAAAAAGAAAAACACACAUUCAACAACCAGGAAGCAGCUUCACCUCUGAUCACACACACACUCAACUCUACUCACUCACCUGGAGGAACGACAACACUCAGGUAGAUGAUGUUGAUGAACCUCCAUGAGCGCGUUUCUACCAUGAAAACACGACACACGUAUGUUCCAGUGUCAUAAAGUGUCACAUUCUUCAGAAUCAGAGACGCGUCUCCAUCCUUCAUCUGUCUGUCCUGCAGAUCCACCCGGUUCUUAAAAGAUGGAUGCUGGUUGUCUGGAACAAAGUGACCAUCACGGUUCAUAAGCACAUAUUUAUCUCCCAGGUCAGCUCUGCUCCACUUUACAACUAUGAUGUUGUUGUUUGGAGCUCGACAUGUCAGAGUGACGUCCUGUCCAGAAUCAGCUGUGAUGGUUUUCUGGUCUGAAAGAGGAAACAACAAAGAGCAGAGAGGUUAAAGGUCAAAGUACAAUUAUGAUCAGAAUGAUUGACUUUAAAUAUUUUGUUUAUUUCCUUUGACAUUUGAGUUUUUAGUCAUGUUGGAUUUAAUGAACCUCUGAACAUCCAGCAGGUCACCAGUGACCCACUGAGGGGGAAUUUUAGCCUCAUGCUAAACAUGCAAAGUGUCAGAAACUACAAGAUGUUAGCUUCCACAGAACAACAACAUGUGCUGAUAAUAAGUGAACAUAAUGUGUGAGAGAAAGCAGCCUCUCAUUAUAAGACACUGUGAGUCUCUGC
Molecule: long non-coding RNA, 3165 nt
Organism: Astatotilapia calliptera (eastern happy)
Lineage: Eukaryota; Metazoa; Chordata; Actinopteri; Cichliformes; Cichlidae
Source: Ensembl